Molecule: microRNA precursor, 120 nt
Filed under: Bombyx mori (domestic silkworm)
Lineage: Eukaryota; Metazoa; Arthropoda; Insecta; Lepidoptera; Bombycidae
Description: microRNA bmo-mir-3286 precursor
Rfam family: mir-210 microRNA precursor family (bases 16-115)
Source: miRBase by way of RNAcentral
AUGAUUGGCGAAUAAUCGAAGCCCAAAACAACUAUUGGUCACUGCACAGGAAUAGUGAAACCUGCAUACUCUUGUGCGUGUUCCAAUAGUUAUUGUGGGUGCUUCAAAAUCGACAUGUCA